This 484-nucleotide ribosomal RNA is filed under the name uncultured bacterium. RNAcentral's name for it is "partial 16S ribosomal RNA". It matches the Rfam family "Bacterial small subunit ribosomal RNA", at positions 29 to 523 of the family's 1533-position model. The record is from RNAcentral.
AGUGAACGCUGGCGGCGUGCUUAACACAUGCAAGUCGAACGAGAACGGGUUAUAGCUUGCUAUAAUUGUCAGCUAAGUGGCGCACGGGUGAGUAAUGUAUAGGUAAUAUGCCUCUUACUAAGGGAUAACAAAUGGAAACGUUUGCUAAUACCUUAUACUCCUUAUUAACAGAAGUUAAUAAGGGAAAGAUUUAUUGGUAAGAGAUUAGCCUGUAUUGUAUCAGUUAGUUGGUGGGGUAAUGGCUUACCAAGACUAUGACACAUAACUGGUUUGAGAGGAUGAUACGUCACACUGUAACUGAGACACGGUCCAGAAUACUACGGGAGGCAGCAGUGGGGAAUAUUGCACAAUGGACGGAAGUCUGAUGCAGCAACGCCGCGUGGAGGAUGACACAUUUCGGUGCGUAAACUCCUUUUAUAUGAGAAGAUAAUGACGGUAUUAUAUGAAUAAGCACCGGCUAACUCCGUGCCAGCAGCCGCCGUAA